UCCCGGGUAGCUCAGUGGUAGAGUCGGCGGCUGUUAACCGCUUGGUCGGGGGUUCGAAUCCCUCCCCGGGAGCCA
This 75-nucleotide transfer RNA is filed under the name Candidatus Endolissoclinum faulkneri L2. RNAcentral's name for it is "tRNA-Asn (GTT) (tRNA-Asn-GTT-1-1)". It matches the Rfam family "tRNA". Rfam says of the family: Transfer RNA (tRNA) molecules are approximately 80 nucleotides in length. Their secondary structure includes four short double-helical elements and three loops (D, anti-codon, and T loops). The record is from RNAcentral. Lineage: Bacteria; Pseudomonadati; Pseudomonadota; Alphaproteobacteria; Rhodospirillales; Rhodospirillaceae. RNAcentral also lists the same sequence under 1 other name.